CCUACGGGAGGCAGCAGUGGGGAAUAUUGGACAAUGGGCGAAAGCCUGAUCCAGCAACGCCGCGUGAAGGAAGAAGGCUUUCGGGUUGUAAACUUCUUUUGUCAGGGACGAAGCAAGUGACGGUACCGGACGAAUAACCCACGGCUAACUACGUGCCAGCAGCCGCGGUAAUACGUAGGUGGCAACGGUUAUCCGGAUUUACUGGGGGUAAAGGGGGUGUAGGCGGGGCAGCAAGUCAGAUGUGAAAGCCACGGGCUCAACCUGUGGACUGCAUUGGAAACUGUUGUUCUUGAGUGCUGGAGAGGCGAUCGGAAUUCCGUGUGUAGCGGUGAAAUGCGUAGAUAUACGGAGGAACACCAGUGGCGAAGGCGGAUUACUGGACAGUGACUGACGCUGAGGCGCGAAAGCGUGGGGAGCAAACAGGAUUAGAUACCCGAGUAGUC
This 443-nucleotide ribosomal RNA is filed under the name uncultured bacterium. Its description in RNAcentral is "partial 16S ribosomal RNA". It matches the Rfam family "Bacterial small subunit ribosomal RNA", at positions 338 to 795 of the family's 1533-position model. The record is from RNAcentral.